RNAcentral lists this ribosomal RNA (445 nucleotides) under uncultured bacterium. Its description in RNAcentral is "partial 16S ribosomal RNA". It matches the Rfam family "Bacterial small subunit ribosomal RNA", at positions 354 to 796 of the family's 1533-position model. The record is from RNAcentral.
GUGAGGAAUAUUGCGCAAUGGAGGCAACUCUGACGCAGCCAUGCCGCGUGCAGGAAGAAGGCGCUACGCGUUGUAAACUGCUUUUAACCGGGAAGAAACCCCAGGACGUGUCCUGGGUUGACGGUACCGGAGGAAUAAGCACCGGCUAACUUCGUGCCAGCAGCCGCGGUAAUACGAAGGGUGCAAGCGUUAUCCGGAUUCAUUGGGUUUAAAGGGUGCGUAGGCGGAGCGUUAAGUCAGUGGUGAAAUCCUGCAGCUUAACUGUAGACUUGCCAUUGAUACUGGCGAUCUUGAGUGCGCUUGAAGUGGGCGGAAUGUGCCGUGUAGCGGUGAAAUGCUUAGAUAUGGCACAGAACACCAAUUGCGAAGGCAGCUCACUAAGGCGAUACUGACGCUGAGGCACGAAAGCGUGGGGAUCGAACAGGAUUAGAUACCCGUGUAGUCC